UACGGAGGGGGCAAGCGCUAUUCGGAAUUAUUGGGCGUAAAGGGCGCGUAGGCGGCUAGAUGUGUCAAAGGUGAAAUCCCUCGGCUCAACUGAGGAACUGCCUUUGAAACUGUCUGGCUUGAGGCCGGGAGAGGGUAGCGGAAUUCCCAGUGUAGCGGUGAAAUGCGUAGAUAUUGGGAGGAACACCAGUGGCGAAGGCGGCUACCUGGACCGGUUCUGACGCUGAGGCGCGAAAGCGUGGGUAGCAAACAGG
This 253-nucleotide ribosomal RNA is filed under the name uncultured bacterium. RNAcentral's name for it is "partial 16S ribosomal RNA". It matches the Rfam family "Bacterial small subunit ribosomal RNA", at positions 524 to 776 of the family's 1533-position model. The record is from RNAcentral.